This 7216-nucleotide long non-coding RNA is filed under the name Glycine max (soybean). RNAcentral describes it as "long non-coding RNA (GMAX_LNC001883)". Lineage: Eukaryota; Viridiplantae; Streptophyta; Magnoliopsida; Fabales; Fabaceae. The record is from RNAcentral.
UUGGAGAUGGUGGAGGUGGAGAUUGGAGGAAGAGAGUUGUAGUAGUAGUAGGGUGAAUGAGGCUUAGGAGAUGGUGGAGGUAGAGAUUUAUAGUAUUAAGAUGUUUGAGAAUAAAUACGUAUGUUGAAGAUCUAAUUUAUUAUGUUAUUAAUUUGUAAAAAAUUAUUCUUUAUUUUAUUAUCAUAUUCAUUAUUAAAUUGUUAAUUUGAUAAGUCAUUGAUUAAAAUUAGAUGUUUGUUAUCAUGAUAGAGAUUAUGAUAAUGAGAAACAAAUUUUUUAUAAUUUUAAUUCAAAUUAUUCUUGAUAGUAUGAUUAUCGUGAAUAGGACAUCAAUAAUCAUGAUAGAUUAAUAUAUAUGUAAUGAUCUUUAUUGAAUAAAGAUUAAUAAAUUUUUAUUGAAUAAUGAUCUUUAACACGAGAUUAUCAUAGUAAUUAAUAAGUUAUUGGUAUAUUUUAAUUUCGGAUGCCUAAUGUCUUAGAACACUAGUUGAAUGAAUAUUAGAUAUGAUUAAAUACUUGUAAAAUUAAUGAUUAAUCAAGAAGGAAUCCAUCAAUUCUAGGUAAUGAGUUUGAGUUCUAUUUUAGAAUUAAGACAUUGACUAAGGCAAUUGAAUGAAAGAAGAAAAUAGUUUCUUAAGUCAUUCAUGUGUUAGCUUAUUAGAGUUUGACAAUAAUACUAUACUCUAGAGUUAACCUAUGAUGGAAGCAAAUAUUAUAUUCUUCUUCUAUUGGUUCUCGAAGGGAAAAAGAUUUUGUUUCAGGUUAUCCGGACUUUAAGGAGUGUUGUUAAACGCCUAACUUGAUUAAUAAAUUAAUUAUGAUUAAUUUAUUAUCAAUUUAGUAUUGAACCUACAAGGUCACACACAAACGAGUAUUUCAAUAUUUACAAAAGAAAAUAAUUUAUUUUGAUAAUUAAAUUAGAGAAUUUAAUUUAAUCAAAUAAAUAUUUUAGUGAAAUAUUAUUAUAUUUUUUGCUAGGACCAAUAAUAUAAUUAAUAUAUAAAAAGGGAAUAUUAUUUUAUAAUUGUGAAGAUGUCCAUAAAAUAAGAAUAAUAUUCAAUUGCUAUGUAUCAAGGAUGUGAUUAAUUAUUGUAAUUAGUUAUGUGAUUAAUUAUGAAUUAUCUUUAUCUUAAAUCAGUAAGCUUCUUAAAAUAAAAUAUAUGAGAUAAUAUUUUUUUUAUAAAGACAAAUAUAAAUGAAAUUAUUUUAUAUAUUUUCUUUUUUUUCUCACCCAAAUCCAUAUCUCUUUAAUAUUAUGAAUAAAAGUAUCUAUAUGAGGCAAAGCGUACUAAAUAAAGACUGAAAAAGGUUCAAGUCUAGUUUUAGACGUGAAAAGUAGAAAAAAAAUUAUUCUUUAGAGUUUCAUCCAUCAAAGAAUUUGAUAAUAAAGAUUGACCUGAGUAUAGAUACAAGUAGAGUUUUUAGACUAUUAAAAAAAAUGUGUUGCUUCAAAACCUACAUUUUGAUGCAUUAAUUUAUUAUUUAUUUAUUUAUUAUUAUUGUAUAUUUUGAAUAUAAAAUAAAUCCUAAUUUUUUUCCUACAAUUAUUAGAAACAUUUUUAUGUAACUAUCAUACUACACACACGAGGAUAUGAGGAUAUGGUGAAUGAGGUGGUGGAAACUUAUAAUAGUAAGUUGGAAGAGAUGGUGGAGGAGAAGAUUUGUAGGAAUAAGGUAUUGGACGACUUCAUUUUGUGGAAAGAGUCAUGAUUUAAUUUGUUUUUCCUCUCCUUCUCUUAAAAUUUAGUUAUGCCCGUAUAUCUUAUUGAAAACCACAUUUUUUUAGUCUUUCUGGACUGGAUACCCCUACCCCUGGCCAUGAUCAUAAUUCAUAACUAUUAUAUAUAUAUUACACGUAUUUUAUUUGUAACAAAUGGUAUAUCGAUGAGUUUUCUGAAUGUUUGAUCACAUGGAAAAUUUCUGAACGCGUCCUAGAGACUGAAACAGUUUUAUUUGCGCAAUAUAGAGUGUCGGUUUACUAAAAGAACGCACAGAUAGAUAUAUAUCUAUUCCAAAAUGAAGCGUAUGUAUACACGGAAUGAAAAAUGAUUAGUAAUAAUAAAUUAAUUUUACGAAAAUUUAUAAUUCUUUUAUUUUUUAUCUCUCUUAGUCGUUAAAAAGAUUAUGUAAAAUAUUGUAUGAGGACAGUUUCUUAAUAGAAACAUUCUAAUGCAUGUGAUACGUACGGAAUUAUUAUAAUUACAGUUGCACGAAGUAUAUUAUUAAUUAAUAUUCUCCUGUUAACAACCUUUUUUAUUGAGUAGUGUUUUUUCAUUGGAGGAAAUCCUUAAAUAUAUUUUUGGUGAAUCUAAGUUUACUUAAGCGGUACAUUAAUUAGAAAAAAAUAUUUUUUCCCCUAUUUUGUUUAUAUAAGUAAAAAAGUGAGAAUUAUAUGAACGUGCGAAGUGUGUGUAUGAGAUAAUAUUUGUUUUACAUAAUAUACCCUAAAUCAUAAAAGAAGCUUCACUGUGUAACUUAAAUUAAAAUUUGUAUAUCUCCCCCAUGUGCGUCUGACUACUGUUACCAUGCAUAUUCUAAUUAAGAACCCUGUUAGUGCCUUUCUUCUUUUUAUCCUCUUUCCUUCAUGAUCACCAUUGUUAAAUGGCAGUCAAUUCCAUGUACGUAUUGCAUCUCUGAAUUCAAGUCUAGCUGUCUCAUCGAGUUUAAUUUGUGAUAAUUGGUCUCAAGUAAAAAAGACCACUAAUUUGAUCAUUAAAUAUAUAUAUAUAUAUAUAUAUAUAUAUAUAGACAUAUAUAUAUAUAUAUAUAUAUAUAUAUAUAUAUAUAUAUAUAUAUAUAUAUAUAUAUAUAUAUAUAUAUAUAUAUAUAUAUAUAUAUAUAUAUAUAUAUAUAUAUAUAUUGAACAAUGCUAAUUAAAUACCAUAUAUAGUCAGAAAUAGAUCAGUGGGGGGUGCAUGUAUGUUAAGUUAGAAAGAGAUAAGAUCGUGGUUGUGGCAUAUAGACGUGCAUGGGGUGGUGUGGCUUAUAUGAUAUGAGAAAAUCAAGUAAUUGCAGGCAUUUUUUUUAAAAAAUAAAAUGACUUCAUUAAUCGUCUCCAACAUCAGUUAUAUAUAUUGACAUGUUUUUUAAAAUAAUCAAAACUGUCUCGCUCCCAAAUCCCUCUCACUUCUUUUCUUCCCUCUCACUGGCUUAGGGAUUUUCACUUUCGAAAAACAUGACUUAGGCCAUAAUUGAAGCCAUUAGACAGUAAUAUAUCAUAUGAGCAGGGGCCAAUCCAAACUCAAAUGGCUGUGAGGACCGAUAAUAAAAAAUAAAAUUCAUCUAACACAUCAUAAAAAUAUAUAUUCAUAAAUUAAUGUUUUAAAAUGUUAAUUACAAUAAUAAUCUAUUAAAACACGGGACCUUAUUCUUAUAUGUACUAAAUUUUUUAUCAAUUCUUCAAUGUAUAUUAACAAAAUGUGAAUCAAGAAUCCAUCUUUCAUCUUCUUUAAUAAUUAUAGAUUAACAAAAUUUGAGAAAAAUAAAACCUACUAUAUAAUAAGUAGAAUUAGUCAAAUAUAAUAUUCGGAUAAGAUAUUUUACAAAAAAAGAAAUAAAAUUACUAUUGAUUUUAUAAUUUAAAAUUACAGAAAAUAAAAAUUGAUGGUAUAAUAACAAAAAUUGUUAAAAAAUAAUAUUUAAAUAUUUUUUUUAAAAAAAGACAAAAUUGCUAUUGAUUUUAUAGUUUGAAAAAAAAGAGAUAAAAACAAUUAUAUAAAUUGAUGGAUUUGAAUCCAUCCAUUUUUUUUUAUGGAUAAAUUAGAUGAAUUUAUUGUGGAUGAAUUAAUUGGAUAAUGGAUAAAUGAAUUCAUUUGUCACCACUAGCCUGGGACCUAGUCAUGUCCACCAUAGUGGAAAAGUUAUUUUGACCAUUGGAUUUAAAUUUUUCUUGAGAUAAGUGCAGGCUUAUCUUAAGACAAGUUACACUGGAUUAUUAUUAUUAUUAUUAUUAUUAUUAUUAUUAUUUUCCUUAAAAAGUGUUAUUCUUUCCUGUUCUAGUUUAUCGCCCCUUUCUUUCUCUCUCCGACUCUCCCUUCCAUCUACUUAUUCUCCUCCUCCCCUUUUUCAAAAUGUCAUGCUUCUUCGGUGACCUCAACAACUUCUUUGUCAUCAAGCUCCUCGUCGGACACGUAGUUAGCUAUGGUAGGAUUUGAAUACGAAAGAAUGGGCUUCAACGUCCACAAAAUGCUGAUUGGUGCGAUUGUUACUUUAAUGCAAGUGUAGGUAGGUUUGGAGCUUUGAUGUAGGUUUGGGAUAUGUGUGUGUGUGUGGAAAGAAACACGACCUAAAUUUAGGGGAUAUGUAGAUUAUUAUGCUUUUUUAUGCAAAUAUUGACAAAUUUAUUGCAAACAACACAAAAAGAUAUAUUAAAAGAAUUUCACAAUAAUUUGAAUGAAAUCAUACACAAUCAACCAUAUUAAUCUACAAAGAAACAAAUAAGAAAGCUCUAAAAGCAGCCUGAAUUGAUAUCAACAUUUCUAAUCUUGCUUCCUUGUCUUGAAUCUUUUUGAUUUGUCGCUUCCUUGAACUUAGUAAGAACAACACUUGAAAAAUGGCCACCAAAUAAAUAGAAGCAACCUCAUAUGAGUCAUGAAGAUCGUAGCUUAGAGGUGAUACACUCAGACUCUUAUUCAAAGAACUUGUAUAACAAAUUAUAUGCUUAACUCUGCUCCAAAUGGAACGGAAAUUUAUUCCACAAUGAAUACUAGAACCUGAAAUAAAAUAAAAGUUUUCAAUACUUCUCAGAGUUUAUAAAUGCAUAUAAAAUAGACAUUUAUCUANNNNNNNNNNNNNNNNNNNNNNNNNNNNNNNNNNNNNNNNNNNNNNNNNNNNNNNNNNNNNNNNNNNNNNNNNNNNNNNNNNNNNNNNNNNNNNNNNNNNNNNNNNNNNNNNNNNNNNNNNNNNNNNNNNNNNNNNNNNNNNNNNNNNNNNNNNNNNNNNNNNNNNNNNNNNNNNNNNNNNNNNNNNNNNNNNNNNNNNNNNNNNNNNNNNNNNNNNNNNNNNNNNNNNNNNNNNNNNNNNNNNNNNNNNNNNNNNNNNNNNNNNNNNNNNNNNNNNNNNNNNNNNNNNNNNNNNNNNNNNNNNNNNNNNNNNNNNNNNNNNNNNNNNNNNNUGGUGAUGGUGAUGGUGGCGGGGGAGAUUUAUAGUAAUAUGGAGGAGGUGAUGGUGAUGGUGGAGGAGGGCUCUUGUAGUAAUAAGAAGGUGGGGGAGGAGAUUUGUAAUAGUAUGUUGGUGGUGGUGGAGGUGGUGACUUAUAGUAGUAAGGAGGGUGUGGGUGCGGUGAGGGUGAAGGGGGUGGGGGAGAGUUGUAAUAAUAUGGUUUGUGAUAAGGAGUAGGGGAAGGCUUGGGCUUGGGCUUUUCGCAAUCAUAUGACUUUUCAGGAGCAUAAGCAAAUGGCUUAGCCUUGAGCACAACUUCAUACUUAUCCUUGGACUUCACCUUCAAUUUGGUUCCCUCAUUAAGCUUGGUGGGUAUGUUACAGCGUGAAUCCUUAGGAGGAGCAUGGAGUUUAGCCUUGCAGACUGUGGCUCCAUAUUUCACAUAGUCAAAGCCUUCAACAGUGAUGCUGUACUUUCCAUUGCUCUUAGUUUUACCAUAAGCUUUUAUGGUCUUGCUCCCAACUUCACAAGUCACUUCGACCGUGGCACCUAAUUAACGAUGCCAUUAAAUGUGUGGAUCGCACAUGUUAUUGACAAAUCAAUCUAACAUAUAAAACCAUGACAUUAUUGUUUUCUUUAAUUUUAACGGAAGGAAAUGUUUUGUGAACACAAAAUGGGAUAAUAAAGUUAUUUCUUAUAACAUUAUGAUGUGUUUUUAAAACACGUGUACGAAAAAAAAGAAGCAUGUGUUACAUUAAUAAAUCUUUAUUUUUAAAGGUUUAAAUAAUAUAAAUAAAAUUAAAAUAGUUAACCUAUCCUAGCUUUUUCAUAUUUUGAUUGUUGGCUUCAUUGAUUACAUAAGAAAUAGUCGAUUCUAAACAAUAUUUUCUAUUUUCCAACAAAAAUUGUAUUUUUUUUUAUUGAAAUUCCAACUAAAGUCCUCUUCAAAAAAAAAUUGACAACUUUCUGUUUGAAAAGGGUAAUAUAGGUACUUUAAAAAGUAGUAUAUGUUUAGGUUGGUCAUUUGUUUAAUUAGUUAGCAUAGAUCAAGAUUCUCAAAAAUAUUUUUUUGUUAAAAUAUUUUCUCAAAUUGAAACAUGUUUUAUUUCUUAAUUGAAAUGAUAAUUACAAAAAAAAACUAGUUGACUAAAUAAAAAAAGGAGAAAUUAUAACUGUAAAAUUAUUUUAUAUUAGUUUUUUUUACAAAUUUUAUAGAGAAAAGAAAAAAAUGAGAAAAUAUCAAAUAAUUAAAUGAUUUAAUAGAAAAAAUAAAAAAAUAUGACUAAAAUACUAUAAGAAUAUUAUAUUGUAUUAAAAACAACUGUUUAUGUAUAAAUGCAGUUGAACUUCUCUAGACACAACAACACACACAUAACAAUAUCGAUGUAAUUAUACAAAUAAAAAUAUGAGCUUGAAAAAGAAAAAUUAAUUAAAGAAACAUAUAUGGCAGCCAAUGUCCCAAAUUAAAAUUUUGAGAAAAACAAAAGUACAGAUUAAUAUUACCAAAAAGUAACAUUUUUGAAGUAUUCAUAAUAUUAUUAUUGUGAAUGUAUUAGAAUGAAAUAGUAAAAAAAUAAAAGUAAUGUAGGUACCUUUGAGGUGUUUCUUGUUGUGCGACUUUUGGGGGUAUUUCCAGUCAUAACAUCUAUAACAAUAGACUUUACCCACAAUCUUAACAAUCAAUGGGUGAUGAUAUGGGUGAGGGUGAGGAUAUGGAGUGUAUGGAGGAGGCUUAGGAGAUGGUGGAGGCAGAGAUUUAUAGUAGUAAGGCACAUGAGGAGGAUACGGUGAAGGAGGAGGUGGAGACUUAUAAUAGUAAGGUGGAGGAGGUGAAGGAGAUGGUGGAGGAGGAGAUUUGUAGUAGUAAGGUGGUGGAGGAGAUGGUGAAGGAGGAGGCGGAGACUUGUAGUAAUAUGGAGGAGGGGGUGAGGGAGAUGGAGGAGGAGGAGAUUUGUAGUAGUAUGGUGUUGGAGCUGGGUGACUUCUCAGGUGGGGGAGGAGACUUGUAGUAGUAUGGUGGUGGUGGUGAUGGUGAAGGUGGUGGUGGGGACUUGUAGUAGUAAGGAGGUGGAGGUGAUGGAGAGGUGGUGGCGGGAAUUUAUAGUAGUAAGGAGGG